RNAcentral lists this small nuclear RNA (191 nucleotides) under Echinops telfairi (small Madagascar hedgehog). RNAcentral's name for it is "U2 spliceosomal RNA (ENSETEG00000021141.1)". It matches the Rfam family "U2 spliceosomal RNA". From Rfam's summary of the family: U2 is a small nuclear RNA (snRNA) component of the spliceosome (involved in pre-mRNA splicing). Complementary binding between U2 snRNA (in an area lying towards the 5' end but 3' to hairpin I) and the branchpoint sequence (BPS) of the intron results the bulging out of an unpaired adenosine, on the BPS, which initiates a nucleophilic attack at the intronic 5' splice site, thus starting the first of two transesterification reactions that mediate splicing. Lineage: Eukaryota; Metazoa; Chordata; Mammalia; Afrosoricida; Tenrecidae. The record is from RNAcentral.
AUCACUUCUAGGCCUUUUGGCUGAGAUCAAGUGUAGUAUUUGUUCUUAUCAGUUUAAUAUCUGAUACAUCCUCUAUCCGAGGACAACAUACUAAAUGGAUUUUUGGAGCAGGGAGAUGGAAUAGGAGCUUGCUCUGUCCACUCCACGCAUCGACCUGGUAUUGCAGUACUUCCAGGAACAGUGCACCCCUC